Molecule: ribosomal RNA, 700 nt
Filed under: uncultured Acidovorax sp.
Lineage: Bacteria; Pseudomonadati; Pseudomonadota; Betaproteobacteria; Burkholderiales; Comamonadaceae
Description: bacterial SSU rRNA
Rfam family: Bacterial small subunit ribosomal RNA
Source: RNAcentral
AGAGUUUGAUCCUGGCUCAGAUUGAACGCUGGCGGCAUGCCUUACACAUGCAAGUCGAACGGUAACAGGUCUUCGGAUGCUGACGAGUGGCGAACGGGUGAGUAAUACAUCGGAACGUGCCCAGACGUGGGGGAUAACGAGGCGAAAGCUUUGCUAAUACCGCAUACGAUCUAAGGAUGAAAGCAGGGGACCGCAAGGCCUUGCGCGUUUGGAGCGGCCGAUGGCAGAUUAGGUAGUUGGUGGGAUAAAAGCUUACCAAGCCGACGAUCUGUAGCUGGUCUGAGAGGACGACCAGCCACACUGGGACUGAGACACGGCCCAGACUCCUACGGGAGGCAGCAGUGGGGAAUUUUGGACAAUGGGCGAAAGCCUGAUCCAGCAAUGCCGCGUGCAGGAUGAAGGCCUUCGGGUUGUAAACUGCUUUUGUACGGAACGAAAAGGCUCUGGCUAAUACCUGGGGCACAUGACGGUACCGUAAGAAUAAGCACCGGCUAACUACGUGCCAGCAGCCGCGGUAAUACGUAGGGUGCGAGCGUUAAUCGGAAUUACUGGGCGUAAAGCGUGCGCAGGCGGUUUUGUAAGACAGAGGUGAAAUCCCCGGGCUCAACCUGGGAACUGCCUUUGUGACUGCAAAGCUGGAGUGCGGCAGAGGGGGAUGGAAUUCCGCGUGUAGCAGUGAAAUGCGUAGAUAUGCGGAGGA